Molecule: ribosomal RNA, 389 nt
Filed under: Enterocytozoon bieneusi
Lineage: Eukaryota; Fungi; Microsporidia; Enterocytozoonidae
Description: SSU rRNA
Rfam family: Microsporidia small subunit ribosomal RNA
Source: RNAcentral
AAAGCGGAGAAUAAGGCGCAACCCUAUCAGCUUGUUGGUAGUGUAAAGGACUACCAAGGCCAUGACGGGUAACGGGAAAUCAGGGUUUGAUUCCGGAGAGGGAGCCUGAGAGAUGGCUCCCACGUCCAAGGACGGCAGCAGGCGCGAAACUUGUCCACUCCUUAUUGGGGAGACAGUCAUGAGACGUGAGUAUAAGACCUGAGUGUAAAGACCUUAGGGUGAAGCAAUUGGAGGGCAAGCUUUGGUGCCAGCAGCCGCGGUAACUCCAACUCCAAGAGUGUCUAUGGUGGAUGCUGCAGUUAAAGGGUCCGUAGUCGUGAAUGCAAUUAAAUGUCGUUGUUCAAUAGCGAUGAGUUUGCUGAUGUUUGCGGAACGGAUAGGGAGUGUAG